This 922-nucleotide ribosomal RNA is filed under the name uncultured Bacteroidota bacterium. RNAcentral's name for it is "bacterial SSU rRNA". It matches the Rfam family "Bacterial small subunit ribosomal RNA", at positions 1 to 917 of the family's 1533-position model. The record is from RNAcentral. Lineage: Bacteria; Pseudomonadati; Bacteroidota.
UGGAUCCAGACUUUGAUCUGGCUCGGGAUGAACGCUAGCUACAGGCUUAACACAUGCAAGUCGAGGGGCAGCAUCAUCAAAGCUUGCUUUGAUGGAUGGCGACCGGCGCACGGGUGAGUAACACGUAUCCAACCUGCCGACAACACUGGGAUAGCCUUUCGAAAGAAAGAUUAAUACCGGAUGGCAUAGUUUUCCCGCAUGGGAUGAUUACUAAAGAAUUUCGGUUGUCGAUGGGGAUGCGUUCCAUUAGGCAGUUGGCGGGGUAACGGCCCACCAAACCAACGAUGGAUAGGGGUUCUGAGAGGAAGGUCCCCCACAUUGGAACUGAGACACGGUCCAAACUCCUACGGGAGGCAGCAGUGAGGAAUAUUGGUCAAUGGACGAGGGUCUGAACCAGCCAAGUAGCGUGAAGGAUGACUGCCCUAUGGGUUGUAAACUUCUUUUAUACGGGAAUAAAGUUAGCCACGUGUGGCUUUUUGUAUGUACCGUAUGAAUAAGGAUCGGCUAACUCCGUGCCAGCAGCCGCGGUAAUACGGAGGAUCCGAGCGUUAUCCGGAUUUAUUGGGCUUAAAGGGAGCGUAGGCGGGUUGUUAAGUCAGUUGUGAAAGUUUGCGGCUCAACCGUAAAAUUGCAGUUGAUACUGGCGACCUUGAGUGCAACAGAGGUAGGCGGAAUUCGUGGUGUAGCGGUGAAAUGCUUAGAUAUCACGAAGAACUCCGAUUGCGAAGGCAGCUUACUGGAUUGUAACUGACGCUGAUGCUCGAAAGUGUGGGUAUCAAACAGGAUUAGAUACCCUGGUAGUCCACACAGUAAACGAUGAAUACUCGCUGUUGGCGAUAUACGGUCAGCGGCCAAGCGAAAGCAUUAAGUAUUCCACCUGGGGAGUACGCCGGCAACGGUGCAACUCAAAUGAAUUGACGGA